RNAcentral lists this ribosomal RNA (253 nucleotides) under uncultured bacterium. RNAcentral describes it as "partial 16S ribosomal RNA". It matches the Rfam family "Bacterial small subunit ribosomal RNA", at positions 524 to 776 of the family's 1533-position model. The record is from RNAcentral.
UACGGAGGGUGCAAACGUUGCUCGGAAUCAUUGGGCGUAAAGCGCACGUAGGCGGUUUGUUAAGUCGGGUGUGAAAGCCCUGGGCUCAACCCAGGAAGUGCACCCGAAACUGGCAAGCUUGAAUAUGGAAGAGGGUCGCGGAAUUCCCGGUGUAGAGGUGAAAUUCGUAGAUAUCGGGAGGAACACCAGUGGCGAAGGCGGCGACCUGGGCCAAUAUUGACGCCGAGGUGCGAAAGCGUUGGGAGCGAACAGG